UUUUGGGGUGGAAGCCUACCACUCAAUGCUAAAACAACACAAUUCAAGUGUUGGUACAAUUAAACUAUCAAUACUAUUAAAAGGGAAGGAGUUUAAAUAAAUCUACUUAAAAAAUAUUGUUUGGAUCCUUUCAUUAACUAAUAAUAUUUUGGUCUUACUUUGAUUUAGACAAACAAUAUCAAUAUUAUUAAAACAGUGUCACUGCUUUAUUUAAAACCUAUGUUAUUUAAUUAUAUUUAUUUUUCACUAAAUCUAUUUAAUUCCAAGAACUACUUAUUUUUAAAUUUCAUUUCUCUUCCAGCGUAGUUAGUUAAGAUAGCAAACAUAUAUUUUUUACUGUCAACACAAUACCUACCAGUUUAAAACAUUUUCCCUAUAAUAAUUUUCGUGUAUACUUUCAACAAAUUACUAUUAAUAUACAUUAACAAGACUGUUGUUUAUGAACAUUCUAAAUAUCAUUUUAGGGUUCGUUUAAGUAUUAUAAGAUCAUAUGAUAGGGCUAUAGAAUAUGUUUUAAUAACAUGAUAGUGCUAUACAAUAUGUAUUAAUAUAAAAGCAGUCGAGAUUUUUAUGCAAAAUAUCAUUUUACAACCAAAUUUUCCUGUUAAAAAAAAAGAAAAAAAUUCCCUGUUACUAAAUCCAAACUCAUGAUACCGUAUGACCUACAAAUACGCGACUUCAAAACUUUAAAAUAUUAUUGGAUUUGUAUAAUAUUUACCACAUUAAUGCUUAGAUAUCAAAAAUUGUACCCUUUUACACGUAUAUGCAAGCUAAUCUUCAAAGUAUCUACACUUAAACAAAACAGGAUUUCAGAAAUAUACCUAUCAAAUUCAGUCACUGUAGAAUACUUAAAAUAGUAUAAUAGAAAAUAUAACAAUACUUAAAUUCAUAAACUUUUAAUGUCUAUGAAUAGUAAAAAUAAAUUUUAAAUCUAAAAUAAAUGAAAAGUAAAGCUUUAGAAUUUUCGAUAAGAAAAAAAAAAGAAAACCAAUACCAAAACACAUAAAAUAUCAUCUUUCAAUUUAUUAUUUUAGGUGGUAUAGUGAAAUCUUCACCAAAAUCUAAAAAUCAUAAACAAAAUAGUUUAAUCGAUGUUAUAUGAUAAAAUCAGAAAGUUCAAUGCAAGUUUGGAAAUAAAACACAGAUUUUAAUAAUCAAAACUUUUUUUAAAAAAAAUAAGUAAAAUCACUUGCUGGUUCAGCCGGUGGUUCAACGGUUGUCAGGUUACCGGAUUUAAGGAUUUUUAAUGAUGUUAUCAAAUUUUUAAAUAAUGGACAUUUUCUAAAACCCAAACUGGAUUAUUUACUGAGUCACCGGGUUUAUCAAUUUGACCACGGGUCCGGGUCAGACAUCAAAACACUGCUCGAGACUCUUAAAAACUUUUAAGUAUCUAUUGCAAAAUCAUAAACUAAUAACAUUAAAUUUUAACAUAGUCUUGAAGAGUUUUAAUUGAAUAACACCAGAAUCACUAUAAAACCUAAAUCUUUAGAAGUGUAUAAAUAAUCUAUCCAAUAGCACCUUCUUAGUAACAUAUAGUUUCUUUGUUGAUUAUUUUACCUAAUUUUCCUUGAUUCAAUAUGGUGAGUUAAAAAAACUCGUGGUAUUCAAAUUUUACACAUCUACACAAAACACAUUGUGUACACAUGAAACGUAAUUGUAAGAUUAUUACUAUGCUAUAAUAUAAAUUUAUAAGUUAUAAAAUAAAGUAUUUGUAAGAGAGACAAAUCCCGCGCUUUAAAAGCGCGAGUCAAAAUCUAGUUACUAUAGUUAAACCAGUUGGACUAUUAUUACCGUAGUUCAAACAUCAAACAUAAAUGCUUAUGUAUCAUUUGUUGGCUCAACAUCUACUUUUUUGGUCUUGAGAGAAAAAGAUGGAGAUGAUUUUUUCCGUAAAUAGUACAACUAGUCUAACUAGUACGACUUGUAAACAAAUCAUAAUCUAAAUUAAAUAUUAUUAAAAUAUACCAUUCAUGUAUUUGACACAUGCCUGCGGAGAAAGAUUAGAACAACAUGUCUUAUUGUAUCUACAUCAUAAUUUUUCUACCAUCUUUAUACGCUAAAAACAAAAUAAAAAUCACCAUAAAGAUUGUACUUGUUAUACGUGUUUUAAUUAUAUUGAUUAUACUCAAUCUAUUUGUACUAAUUAUACUGGUUUUAGUUUUACUAAUUGUACUGAUUUGAAUUGUACUAGUUAACUAGUAAUACUAUGCGUUCAUAUUUAUCUUGAAUCUAGUAUUGAUUAAAUAUGACAAUGGAUCGACCGAUUUGGGAUAAGAAAUUAAAAAUUGGUGAAUGGUUAAAGAAAAGUUUUGUUUUUGUUUUAAGAGUCCUUAAGUUUUUUGGUUAUUUUAUAUAAUUUUUUUAGAACUAAAUAUAAAAGAAAAAGAAAGAAGCAUGUGUCAAUUUGAUUUUUUUUUAGACCUAUGUGGUAUAUUUUAGUAUUUGAUCUUAAAGAAUUGAACUUCUUGCCGUAGUUCCAAUCAUUAAAGGGUCUAGUAUGGCUCUUCCCACUCCAAUUCAUGAAUGAUAGAACCAAACCGAACAAGUCAGAUCUGACUUGGUUUAAUAAUUAACCAGAGCUGUUACGGUAAACCCAAUAACAAUACGUGGAUCCACUCUAGAACUCAUCGAGAGCUGGAGAACCGACAAUUCUAAGCCUAGAAGAUGGUCACGAAAGAAGAAGGAUCAACCCGAAGAACGUAGAUUCAAUGGUGGACAAUGAUGAACAGAGAAAAUUAAAGUUUAGAAUAUAAUAUUUUGUGUUUGAUUGAUUUUUGGUAAAUGAGAAAGAGAUUACAAAUAGAAUAGAGUUUACUAAACCAAAGGACUAAACCAUAAAACUAAGAACUAAACCAAAAGGAUAACCGGUUUAUCCUAUAAGAAGAGCCAGUUAAGUUUAUGAGCAUAGUGUAUAUGAUGAACCGUUAGCACUCGCACCACUCUUACAACAACAGAAAAUAACUUAUGCGAAGGGGCGUUUACGUAAAAAAAUGCAGAUUCCUUGAUUCGCUAAAACCUCUUUGUCCUUUACUCUCCUCCGAACCGUUUCCCAAAGCAUUUUUGCUUAAGUCGAUCCAUCUUCUCUGCGUUUCUCCUCGUUUAAGAAAUAAAAACCCUAAAGGCUCUUUAUUAAGAAGAAGACCCACCUCCUUAGAACUUGGUCCCACCGCUUUUCUCCGGCAAAAGAAACCCAUACACACAGCUUUGUUUGGAGUUUCCUUAUGGAUGCAGAGGUUAUGUUUGAUGGUACAGUUAGUUUAGAUUCUCAAGAUCAUGAUGAAUCAGUCCUUGUUGAUAAUAGUGUAAUUAAGGAGAAUCCGGAUGUUGAUUUUCUAGAGAAUGAUAUGAAUAACCACCGGUUAACUGUUUCAAGAUUCGUUAGUGAUACAGUUGAGACUCUAGCGGCUGAUAAGAUUGCUCAGACACAAGUGGAACUGUCGAGUUCUGAAGGAAACGAAACUUCGCAGUCUCGUUUGAUUCUUGACUAUGGGGAGACAUUGUUGGUGCAGGAAUCUUGUGGUUUGGUACUUGAGAAGGCUAAAGAGAUUGCUGGUCUGCGCCGGGAACUAGAGUUAAUUUCUAAGUUGCUUUCGGGUCGUGAAAAGGGAGACAUUAAGGCUCUGGAGGACCAUGAAGGAACUACUGAUAUACUGCAACGUAAAGUCUCUGGUAAGCAUAUAGGAUCUGUCACGUCAAAGCCUGAGAAUUUAGAGUAUUUAAGACAGUUACCGCGUGACGAGUUGAUCAACCAUUUUAAGACAGAGAUGAAUCAGUUGAAAAGAGAGCAUGAGUGCACAAUGCAAGAGAUGACUGAGGAGUAUUUUAGCAUUAAGAGAAGAUGCCUGAAACUAGAGGAGUGCCCUUCACUUUCUUUUUUGAACAAGGACAAGGAUUUUAAUGUGCUGCGAAAGAAGAUCCCUGAUAUCAUUUCGAAGCUGGACAAGGUUGUAUUGGAAGGUGAGAAGCUUAAAGGAAAGAACAAUGCUGACUCCAAGAGGGAAUUAGAUUUUCUGCUUCUAGAAAACAGUCAGCUUAAAGAUUCACUUUCAGAGGCUGGUGAGAAGGUGUCACAUCAUCGAGAGCUUGUCCGGAAGCUUGAAUCAGAUGUUGAGGAUUUGCAUGUUGAAGCCUCUAUCUAUGAAGAUGUAUAUAGGUCUUUUGUGGGAGAGUUUGUGAACCAGUUUCAGUGUGCAAAAGAAGAGGCUAAUUUGGAGAGAGAAGAAGCCUCUGGAAGCAAGAUUGCUCUUGAAGACUCUUGUGUGGAGUCCUACAUGAAAGAAGAGUACUGCGCAAUAAUGUACAAAGAAGCUUUGAAGGAAGCUGGUGAAAAGCUUGUAGAGCUGAAGAUAAAUGUAUCAGAAAGGGAACGAGCUAUGGGAUCGGAGAUUGCUGAGAAAGGAAUACUGAAAGAAAAGAUUCACUCGCUUGAAUGUCUUGUUAAGGAGAAGGAGAAUGAUUUGGAUACAGUGAGGGAGAAGCUAGAGAUAGUAUGUCAACAUGUUAACAAUCUGCAAUCUCAAGUUGAUCAGCAAGCAGUAGUGAUUCAAGAUCAAAGCAAAGAACUGGGAGUUGCCUCAUCUCGCGAUCUGGAAAAGACUAAAGGUUAUGUUAUGGAGAUAUCUGAGUUGAGACAGAAGCUUGAGUUGGCUAGAAAGGAUAUGAAGAUAACCGAAAAUGAGAGAAUGAAGUCUGAGCUGAAAUUAUCAUCAACACAAGCAGAGCAGAAACUACUUCAGGAUCAGAUUGUAUCUACGGUUCUGAGUCUUGCUAAAUGGAGUCAAGAUUUCGAGUGUUUGGUAGCAGAAAAGACGAAAAAGACUAACUAUAGGUUGAAAAGUAUGCAGAGCCAAUUAAAUGAUCUUAUAGAUGAAGUGGAUGAACUCAAGAUUAGAGAAUCGAUGUACAAGCAACAAAUGGAGAAGAAGACUUGUGACCUCCAAAAGGCUGAGACUGAGGUUGAUCUCCUUGGUGAUGAAAUUGAUUCUCUCUUGGACCUCCUUCAGAAAAUAUACAUAGCUCUUGAUCAUUACUCACCAAUUCUGAAGCACUACCCUGGCAUUAUGGAGAUCUUGAAGCUUGUCCAGAGGGAAUUGAGAAAAGGCUCGAAGAGAUUAUCAGUUUUCUGAUCUAGUCUUCAUAUAGUAAUCUCCUUUCUCACAAGUUUCAUUGCUUUACUGGUUGUCCAAGUCUACAUCAUCUGCCAGUGUUCACCUCUCUUCUUGUUUAGUAGGGUUGAUCUCGUUGAAGACAAAAUAGUACCUCUCUUGGAUCGUCGUAAGGAAUUUCUAUAACCCUCCAAUUCUAAAGCAUUAGAGAGCAUCUCAAGAAUGUUCAAGAGAUCACAAAUAAUAACAAGAACUGGAACUUGACAAUAACAAGAUUUGGCCUUUGACAAUGAGAUUUUUAAUGUGCUAUUGUACAUAUGUACCACAACAAGAGUAAAAAAUUGAUCACUAUGUCGUGUGCUAAAA
Brassica rapa (field mustard) is the source of this 5471-nucleotide RNA transcript. It is a transcript of the gene named WPP domain-associated protein-like, with no coding region annotated. Lineage: Eukaryota; Viridiplantae; Streptophyta; Magnoliopsida; Brassicales; Brassicaceae. The record is from RefSeq and is a predicted model, not a curated record.